This 443-nucleotide ribosomal RNA is filed under the name uncultured bacterium. Its description in RNAcentral is "bacterial SSU rRNA". It matches the Rfam family "Bacterial small subunit ribosomal RNA", at positions 340 to 773 of the family's 1533-position model. The record is from RNAcentral.
UACGGGAGGCAGCAGUGGGGAAUAUUGCACAAUGGGCGCAAGCCUGAUGCAGCCAUGCCGCGUGUAUGAAGAAGGCCUUCGGGUUGUAAAGUACUUUCAGUCGUGAGGAAGGUGUUAAGGUUAAUAACCUUAGCAAUUGACGUUAGCGACAGAAGAAGCACCGGCUAACUCCGUGCCAGCAGCCGCGGUAAUACGGAGGGUGCGAGCGUUAAUCGGAAUUACUGGGUCGUAAAGGGCACGCAGGCGGUUAAUUAAGUUGGAUGUGAAAUCCCCGGGCUUAACCUGGGAAUGGCAUUCAAGACUGGUUAGCUAGAGUCUUGUAGAGGGGGUUAGAAUUCCAUGUGUAGCGGUGAAAUGCGUAGAGAUGUGGAGGAAUACCGGUGGCGAAGGCGGCCCCUGGACAAAGGACUGACGCUCGAUGUGCGAAAGCGUGGGGAGCAAAC